AGUUACAGCCAUGCCACCCUGAACAAGCCCGAUCCUAUCUGAUCUCGGAAGCUAAGCAGGGUUGGGCCUGGUUAGUACUUGGAUGGAAAACCACUUAGGAAGACCAGGUGCUGUAGGUG
This 119-nucleotide ribosomal RNA is filed under the name Pteropus alecto (black flying fox). The record is from RNAcentral. Lineage: Eukaryota; Metazoa; Chordata; Mammalia; Chiroptera; Pteropodidae.